Molecule: non-coding RNA, 148 nt
Organism: Arachis ipaensis
Lineage: Eukaryota; Viridiplantae; Streptophyta; Magnoliopsida; Fabales; Fabaceae
Source: RefSeq, a predicted model, not a curated record
UUUAAAGAACGAGUGUCAGCACAACGUAAAAAAAAAAACAGAGGAGCCUACCGAAGAUGAGGCCGUUACAGCUCGCCUUUAUGUGUUCUCCUCGGGAUAGCGUCAUAUAAAGAACGAGGGUCAGCACAAGAUAUAAAAAAAAAAAAAA